UGGGGAAUUUUCCGCGAUGGGCGAAAGCCUGACGGAGCAAUACCGCGUGAGGGAGGAAGGCUUUUGGGUUGUAAACCUCUUUUCUCAAGGAAGAAGCAAGUGACGGUACUUGAGGAAUCAGCAUCGGCUAACUCCGUGCCAGCAGCCGCGGUAAGACGGAGGAGGCAAGCGUUAUCCGGAAUUAUUGGGCGUAAAGCGUCCGCAGGUGGCAUCUCAAGUCUGCUGUCAAAGCCCAGGGCUCAACUCUGGAUCGGCAGUGGAAACUGAGGCGCUAGAGUACGGUAGGGGCAGAGGGAAUUCCCAGUGUAGCGGUGAAAUGCGUAGAUAUUGGGAAGAACACCAGUAGCGAAAGCGCUCUGCUGGGCCGUAACUGACACUCAUGGACGAAAGCUAGGGGAGCGAAAGGGAUUAGAUACCCCUGUAGUCC
RNAcentral lists this ribosomal RNA (427 nucleotides) under uncultured prokaryote. RNAcentral's name for it is "bacterial SSU rRNA". It matches the Rfam family "Bacterial small subunit ribosomal RNA", at positions 355 to 796 of the family's 1533-position model. The record is from RNAcentral.